UACGGAGGAUCCGAGCGUUAUCCGGAUUUAUUGGGUUUAAAGGGUGCGUAGGCGGCCUUGUAAGUCAGGGGUGAAAGACGGUAGCUUAACUAUCGCAGUGCCUUUGAUACUGCAGGGCUUGAAUGUACUUGAGGUAGGCGGAAUGUGACAAGUAGCGGUGAAAUGCAUAGAUAUGUCACAGAACACCAAUUGCGAAGGCAGCUUACUAAGGUAUGAUUGACGCUGAGGCACGAAAGCGUGGGGAUCAAACAGG
RNAcentral lists this ribosomal RNA (253 nucleotides) under uncultured bacterium. RNAcentral's name for it is "partial 16S ribosomal RNA". It matches the Rfam family "Bacterial small subunit ribosomal RNA", at positions 524 to 776 of the family's 1533-position model. The record is from RNAcentral. RNAcentral also lists the same sequence under 1 other name.